UCAGGCCUAACACAUGCAAGUCGAACGGCAGCACGGACUUCGGUCUGGUGGCGAGUGGCGAACGGGUGAGUAAUGCAUCGGAACGUGCCCAAUCGUGGGGGAUAACGUAGCGAAAGUUACGCUAAUACCGCAUACGAUCUAAGGAUGAAAGCGGGGGAUCGCAAGACCUCGCGCGAUUGGAGCGGCCGAUAUCAGAUUAGGUAGUUGGUGGGGUAAAGGCCCACCAAGCCAACGAUCUGUAGCUGGUCUGAGAGGACGAUCAGCCACACUGGGCCUGAGACACGGCCCAGACUCCUACGGGAGGCAGCAGUGGGGAAUUUUGGACAAUGGGCG
This 333-nucleotide ribosomal RNA is filed under the name uncultured bacterium. Its description in RNAcentral is "bacterial SSU rRNA". It matches the Rfam family "Bacterial small subunit ribosomal RNA", at positions 43 to 377 of the family's 1533-position model. The record is from RNAcentral.